GAUGAACGCUGGCGGCGUGCCUAAUACAUGCAAGUCGAGCGAACGGACGAGAAGCUUGCUUCUCUGAUGUUAGCGGCGGACGGGUGAGUAACACGUGGAUAACCUACCUAUAAGACUGGGAUAACUUCGGGAAACCGGAGCUAAUACCGGAUAAUAUUUUGAACCGCAUGGUUCAAAAGUGAAAGACGGUCUUGCUGUCACGUAUAGAUGGAUCCGCGCUGCAUUAGCUAGUUGGUAAGGUAACGGCUUACCAAGGGAACGAUGCAUAGCCGACCUGAGAGGGUGAUCGGCCACACUGGAACUGAGACACGGUCAAGAAUCCUACGGGAGGCAGCAGUAGGGAAUCUUCCGCAAUGGGCGAAAGCCUGACGGAGCAACGCCGCGUGAGUGAUGAAGGUCUUCGGAUCGUAAAACUCUGUUAUUAGGGAAGAACAUAUGUGUAAGUAACUGUGCACAUCUUGACGGUACCUAAUCAGAAAGCCACGGCUAACUACGUG
RNAcentral lists this ribosomal RNA (497 nucleotides) under uncultured bacterium. Its description in RNAcentral is "partial 16S ribosomal RNA". It matches the Rfam family "Bacterial small subunit ribosomal RNA", at positions 28 to 507 of the family's 1533-position model. The record is from RNAcentral.